Molecule: long non-coding RNA, 866 nt
Organism: Parambassis ranga (Indian glassy fish)
Lineage: Eukaryota; Metazoa; Chordata; Actinopteri; Ambassidae
Source: Ensembl
UCUAUCUCACUACUCCUACAACAGAACCAAAAAGCCUGUAUCUUUCUUCUAUAAAGGAUCUCCAUCUAUUGGACCACAAUCUCAACACACUGAGGCUAUUGGAGAUCAUUAGUGCAGACAGCUGUGACCCAAGCAACCUGUCCUCCUGCCUAGAUUUGAAGGUCUGUCUUUUGUUAUCUUUAUUGCCACUUUGAACGACGGAUUUUUAUUUUUAUCUCCUUUGUAUCACAUUUUUUAUUAUAGAUCACAUUCUUGGAGUUUUUUGAGGUUCUGUUGAACUGCGCAGAAAUUAAAUGUCAGGAAGAAGAGGACCAACCCCAGACCAAAUCUGACACCAAGACCUGGAGUUACCCCCUGGAGGUGGAUACCAGUGAGAAAAUUACAAUGGACAGCACCUCCCAAUCAGCUGGGAAUAGCAGUGCUCAGGAGGUUGGCACUCAACAAGAAGUCGAUGCCAAAGAAGAUCCUCGAGCUGCAGAGCACACUGGUGUACGUAACAACAGAAUGGAGUCCAAAGACUGUGACAUGGAACUUCGGACAAAAACUAUUCAUCAAUUCUUGAACAAUCUUUUCUUCCCAGCAUUUGAACAUUAUCAGUUAGUGACCAGAAACAUGAUGGAGGAGAAACUCAAAAAGGAAUGCUAGAGACACAGGAAUUCUAAACAAGAUUGUGGUCAGGAUAGUACGUAGUACUGUAUUUCAAAAUUUAAGCAAUACUAAACACUAAGGAUGGUCCUCUGACACCCGAAGCUCCGACACAUGCGCGGUAGCUCAUGAAGCGAUUGUUUUGAACCACUGUGCCGAGGCUUGCUUCGUACACAUGACUAGUGAACCAGGUUGAACCAGUUGAUUGCUUCGAACGGCAC